GACGAACGCUGGCGGCGUGCUUAACACAUGCAAGUCGAACGGACAGGCCCUGCUUUUGUGUGUUGCUCGAGUGGCGAACGGGUGAGUAACACGUGAGUAACCUGCCCUUGACUUUGUGAUAACUUCAGGAAACUGGGGCUAUUACCGGAUAUGAUCUCCUGCUGCAUGGUGGUGGUUGGAGAGUUUCGGCGGUUGGGGAUGGACUCGCGGCUUCUCCGCUUGUUGGUGGGGUAGUGGCUUACCAAGGCUUUGACGGGUAGCCGGCCUGAGAGGGUGACCGGCGACAUUGGGACUGAGGUACGGCCCAGAAUCCUACGGGAGGCAGCAGGGGGGAAUAUUGCACAAUGGGCGGAAGCCUGAGGCAGCAACGCCGCGUGCGGGAUGACGGCCUUCGGGUUGUAAACAGAUUUGGCAUGUGACGAAGAGUGAGUGGCGGUAAUGGGUAAAGAAGCACCGGCUAACUACGUG
Molecule: ribosomal RNA, 468 nt
Filed under: uncultured bacterium
Lineage: Bacteria
Description: partial 16S ribosomal RNA
Rfam family: Bacterial small subunit ribosomal RNA
Source: RNAcentral